Long non-coding RNA from Alligator sinensis (Chinese alligator), 673 nucleotides. RefSeq lists it as uncharacterized. The transcript is spliced from 2 exons. The record is from RefSeq and is a predicted model, not a curated record. Lineage: Eukaryota; Metazoa; Chordata; Crocodylia; Alligatoridae.
GCCCCGCAGCCUUAGAUCGUGCCCUGCACUCUGUUUUGUGCCUGUUCAAUCCUUUUGCUAUCUGGUGUUAGGGGAGGCUAACGACUCUUGCAUGCUUCACGGUGAAAUUUAGACCAGCCAAGAACAGCGGUCCAGGGAGGGAUCACUGAUGACUGAAACUUAAAAUAGGAGGUUGCGACAUUCGACGUUGACAUUGUCCUGGAAACGCUGGAGGGAGACUUGCACAGGAGUGAGUCAGUGGGUUGCCGCUUUGUAUGAGUUAUGAUCUCUUGGGCAAGUCCAAGAUGCCUGUGAGAAGAACCAGCAUGUCAGAGUCUCUUUCCAGCCAGCUUUCUCCUUUUAAAGCAACGAGUCAACAUAAAUAAAUCAUCUUGCCACAAAAGCAGUUCAGCUCUCUAGAAUUCUGUUAAAGGAUCGGUUUUCCACCCGGACUGAGAUGCAGCUGAAGUGUCCAUACGAUCAAGCUAACGUAAAAGACCCGUCCAAAAAGAAGCGGUUCAACUCCUUUUUCUACGUUUGACCAUUCAUGCCUUUGUCUUCUCCAGAGCCCACAGGAAGCAGAGCCGGAGUUAGCUCUUUGUGGCUUGGACUGCUCAAAUAGUGGUGACCCUUUCCCUGACGCUGCCUUGUGGGGAAUGCAUUUUAAUUGUAAUAAAAAACUAAUUAAACCCCA